GGGGCGGGGCGUGCUGGCGCCCGGUGUUGUCAGGUGCGGGACGGUUACCGUAUCUGUGCGAUAACUUCGACCCUUGUAGGAUAUACGGACAGGAAUAGAAAAAGCGUUCGAAAAGUGUCUCUGAAGACACUGCCCCAUCACACCGAAUGUGGAAUGCAGCUGGCAAGGGCCAAAAAGGCAAUAAAAAAGGAUUCUACAACUCCUCAUUUCUGUCUCUUUUUUUGUGGAAAAUUUCCCUGAAGGAAUUCCCAGUGAUGGCUCCUCAGACGACAUUAUGUAAUACUUUGACAUUUGGCAUUCCCAUGGUAUUAUCCCACCACCAAUGCAGAAUAAGUUGUCAGAGCAUGAAAUUGGUAUUUUUACAUAUUCUUAAUGUACAGAUGUCAGUCUGAAAACCAUUCACUAGUGUUAUGAUUAAAUUCUUUGUUUCAUUCUCUUCA
Molecule: long non-coding RNA, 440 nt
Organism: Gavialis gangeticus (Gharial)
Lineage: Eukaryota; Metazoa; Chordata; Crocodylia; Gavialidae
Exons: 3
Source: RefSeq, a predicted model, not a curated record